Molecule: long non-coding RNA, 418 nt
Filed under: Zonotrichia albicollis (white-throated sparrow)
Lineage: Eukaryota; Metazoa; Chordata; Aves; Passeriformes; Passerellidae
Description: lncRNA (ENSZALG00000018253.1)
Source: RNAcentral
CACAGUGCAGUGAUUUGACUUUUUUAUCAUUGUGAUCUUUUAGUCUGACCUCCUUUAUAACACGGUAGAGGAGACUUGGAUUAAUUAUUUCUUAAUUGAAGCAGAGUAGAGCUUCUGGAAAGAUGUCAUAUCCUGCUUUAAAAAUGAACAUGAUGGAGGUCCUGGCAGAAAAGUGGCGAAGGACUCCACUAAUGGUAUGCGCUCUCGGGCAGGUGAGUGGGAAUCAGCGACUCCCCCAGCCAAGGAACAGAGCUUACCCAGGAUCUGCAGCAGGAGAAGGAUGGAGAGAGCAGAGCUGCAGCCUGUAACCCACAGAACCAUCCCCAGUGGCCUCUCCAAGGGGAGCAGGCAGAAUCUCUCCCCACCAAGGUCACAUCACUUAAGGAGGAGUGAGAGCCUCUGCCACGCAAAGGAGUGA